UGUACUGUGAAACUGCGAAUGGCUCAUUAAAUCAGUUAUCGUUUAUUUGAUAGUACCUUACUACAUGGAUACCUGUGGUAAUUCUAGAGCUAAUACAUGCUAAAAACCCCGACUUCAGGAAGGGGUGUAUUUAUUAGAUAAAAAACCAACGCCCUUCGGGGCUCCUUGGUGAAUCAUAAUAACUUAACGAAUCGCAUGGCCUUGCGCCGGCGAUGGUUCAUUCAAAUUUCUGCCCUAUCAACUUUCGAUGGUAGGAUAGUGGCCUACCAUGGUGGCAACGGGUAACGGGGAAUUAGGGUUCGAUUCCGGAGAGGGAGCCUGAGAAACGGCUACCACAUCCAAGGAAGGCAGCAGGCGCGCAAAUUACCCAAUCCCGAUACGGGGAGGUAGUGACAAUAAAUACUGAUACGGGGCUCUUUUGGGUCUCGUAAUUGGAAUGAGAACAAUUUAAAUCCCUUAACGAGGAACAAUUGGAGGGCAAGUCUGGUGCCAGCAGCCGCGGUAAUUCCAGCUCCAAUAGCGUAUAUUAAAGUUGUUGCAGUUAAAAAGCUCGUAGUUGAACCUUGGGUCUGGCUGGCCGGUCCGCCUCACCGCGAGUACUGGUCCGGCUGGACCUUUCCUUCUGGGGAACCUCAUGGCCUUCACUGGCUGUGGGGGGAACCAGGACUUUUACUGUGAAAAAAUUAGAGUGUUCAAAGCAGGCCUUUGCUCGAAUACAUUAGCAUGGAAUAAUAGAAUAGGACGUGUGGUUCUAUUUUGUUGGUUUCUAGGACCGCCGUAAUGAUUAAUAGGGAUAGUCGGGGGCGUCAGUAUUCAGCUGUCAGAGGUGAAAUUCUUGGAUUUGCUGAAGACUAACUACUGCGAAAGCAUUCGCCAAGGAUGUUUUCAUUAAUCAGGGAACGAAAGUUAGGGGAUCGAAGACGAUCAGAUACCGUCGUAGUCUUAACCAUAAACUAUGCCGACUAGGGAUCGGACGGGAUUCUAUAAUGACCCGUUCGGCACCUUACGAGAAAUCAAAGU
Molecule: ribosomal RNA, 1020 nt
Filed under: Penicillium crustosum
Lineage: Eukaryota; Fungi; Ascomycota; Eurotiomycetes; Eurotiales; Aspergillaceae
Description: SSU rRNA
Rfam family: Eukaryotic small subunit ribosomal RNA
Source: RNAcentral